GGCUCAUUAGCUCAGUUGGUAAGAGCACCACACUGAUUAUCGUGGAGGUCGUAGGUUCCAAUCCUACAUGAGCCA
This 75-nucleotide transfer RNA is filed under the name Diabrotica virgifera virgifera (western corn rootworm). RNAcentral describes it as "transfer RNA isoleucine (anticodon GAU)". It matches the Rfam family "tRNA". Rfam says of the family: Transfer RNA (tRNA) molecules are approximately 80 nucleotides in length. Their secondary structure includes four short double-helical elements and three loops (D, anti-codon, and T loops). The record is from RNAcentral. Lineage: Eukaryota; Metazoa; Arthropoda; Insecta; Coleoptera; Chrysomelidae.